AUACGUAGGGUGCGAGCGUUGUCCGGGAUUAUUGGGCGUAAAGGGCGCGUAGGCGGCCACUGCAAGUCAGUUGUGAAAUCUCCGGGCUUAACCCGGGAAGGUCAACUGAUACUGCAGGGUUAGAGUGCGGAAGGGGCCACUGGACUUCUUGGUGUAGCGGUGAAUUCGGUAGAUAUCGAGAGGAACCCCUGCGGCGAAGGGGGGUUGCGGGGGUGACACUGACGGUGAUGGGCGAAAGCUGGGGGAGCGAAAGGGAUUAGAUACCCCGGUAGUCCUAGGCUUAAACGAUGAAUGCUUUGUUUCUGGGGGUUUAUAGUCCCCGGGUGCCGUCGCUAACGCUUUAAGCAUUCCGCCUGGGGAGUACGGUCGCAAGACUGAAACUCAAAUGAAUUGACGGGG
Molecule: ribosomal RNA, 399 nt
Filed under: uncultured bacterium
Lineage: Bacteria
Description: partial 16S ribosomal RNA
Rfam family: Bacterial small subunit ribosomal RNA
Source: RNAcentral